Molecule: ribosomal RNA, 469 nt
Filed under: Aphyosemion sp. Bitter
Lineage: Eukaryota; Metazoa; Chordata; Actinopteri; Cyprinodontiformes; Nothobranchiidae
Description: partial 16S ribosomal RNA
Rfam family: Bacterial large subunit ribosomal RNA
Source: RNAcentral
AACGGCCGCGGCAUUCUGACCGUGCAAAGGUAGCGCAAUCACUUGUCUUUUAAAUAGAGACCUGUAUGAACGGCAUAACGAGGGCUUAACUGUCUCCUUUUUUCUAUCAAUGAAAUUGAUCUUCCCGUGCAGAAGCGGGAAUAUCCACAUAAGACGAGAAGACCCUAUGGAGCUUAAGACGCAAGAACAGAACAUGUAGCUUCUUUUAAUUAAAUAACGAAAAUCAUUGUGACCUGUUCUAAUGUCUUUGGUUGGGGCGACCGCGGAGUAAAAAUAAACCUCCAUGAGGAAUGAAGAUAUACCUUCCCAGCUAAGGGUGACAACCCUAAGAACCAGAAUUUCUGACCAUUUGAUCCGGCAAAGCCGAUCAACGAACCGAGUUACCCUAGGGAUAACAGCGCAAUCCUCUUUUAGAGCCCAUAUCGACAAGGGGGUUUACGACCUCGAUGUUGGAUCAGGACAUCCUAAU